Molecule: ribosomal RNA, 427 nt
Filed under: uncultured bacterium
Lineage: Bacteria
Description: bacterial SSU rRNA
Rfam family: Bacterial small subunit ribosomal RNA
Source: RNAcentral
UAGGGAAUAUUGGACAAUGGGGGCAACCCUGAUCCAGCCAUGCCGCGUGAGUGAAGAAGGCCCUCGGGUUGUAAAGCUCUUUUGUCCGGAAAGAAAAGCUUCGGGUUAAUACCCCGGGGUUCUGACGGUCCCGGAAGAAUAAGCACCGGCUAACUUCGUGCCAGCAGCCGCGGUAAUACGGAGGAUCCGAGCGUUAUCCGGAUUUAUUGGGUUUAAAGGGUGCGCAGGCGGGAUGUUAAGUCGGCGGUGAAAUUUUGCAGCUCAACUGUAAAAGUGCCUUCGAUACUGGCCUCCUUGAGUGUGGAUGAAGUAGGCGGAAUUUGUGGUGUAGCGGUGAAAUGCUUAGAUAUCACGAGGAACUCCGAUUGCGCAGGCAGCUUACUAAGCCACAACUGACGCUCAUGCACGAAGGCGUGGGGAUCAAACA